CAGGCUUAACAUAUGCAAGUCGAGGGGCAGCAUGGUCUUAGCUUGCUAAGGCCGAUGGCGACCGGCGCACGGGUGAGUAACACGUAUCCAACCUGCCGUCUACUCUUGGACAGCCUUCUGAAAGGAAGAUUAAUACAAGAUGGCAUCAUGAGUCCACAUGUUCACAUGAUUAAAGGUAUUCCGGUAGACGAUGGGGAUGCGUUCCAUUAGAUAGUAGGCGGGGUAACGGCCCACCUAGUCUUCGAUGGAUAGGGGUUCUGAGAGGAAGGUCCCCCACAUUGGAACUGAGACACGGUCCAAACUCCUACGGGAGGCAGCAGUGAGGAAUAUUGGUCAAUGGGCGAGAGCCUGAACCAGCCAAGUAGCGUGAAGGAUGACUGCCCUAUGGGUUGUAAACUUCUUUUAUAAAGGAAUAAAGUCGGGUAUGCAUACCCGUUUGCAUGUACUUUAUGAAUAAGGAUCGGCUAACUCCGUGCCAGCAGCCGCGGUAAUACGGAGGAUCCGAGCGUUAUCCGGAUUUAUUGGGUUUAAAGGGAGCGUAGAUGGAUGUUUAAGUCAGUUGUGAAAGUUUGCGGCUCAACCGUAAAAUUGCAGUUGAUACUGGAUAUCUUGAGUGCAGUUGAGGCAGGCGGAAUUCGUGGUGUAGCGGUGAAAUGCUUAGAUAUCACGAAGAACUCCGAUUGCGAAGGCAGCCUGCUAAGCUGCAACUGACAUUGAGGCUCGAAAGUGUGGGUAUCAAACAGGAUUAGAUACCCUGGUAGUCCACACGGUAAACGAUGAAUACUCGCUGUUUGCGAUAUACAGCAAGCGGCCAAGCGAAAGCGUUAAGUAUUCCACCUGGGGAGUACGCCGGCAACGGUGAAACUCAAAGGAAUUGACGGGGGCCCGCACAAGCGGAGGAACAUGUGGUUUAAUUCGAUGAUACGCGAGGAACCUUACCCGGGCUUAAAUUGCAGAUGAAUUACGGUGAAAGCCGUAAGCCGCAAGGCAUCUGUGAAGGUGCUGCAUGGUUGUCGUCAGCUCGUGCCGUGAGGUGUCGGCUUAAGUGCCAUAACGAGCGCAACCCUUGUUGUCAGUUACUAACAGGUCAUGCUGAGGACUCUGACAAGACUGCCAUCGUAAGAUGUGAGGAAGGUGGGGAUGACGUCAAAUCAGCACGGCCCUUACGUCCGGGGCUACACACGUGUUACAAUGGGGGGUACAGAGGGCCGCUACCACGCGAGUGGAUGCCAAUCCCAAAAACCUCUCUCAGUUCGGACUGGAGUCUGCAACCCGACUCCACGAAGCUGGAUUCGCUAGUAAUCGCGCAUCAGCCACGGCGCGGUGAAUACGUUCCCGGGCCUUGUACACACCGCCCGUCAAGCCAUGGGAGCCGGGGGUACCUGAAGUGCGUAACCGCGAGGAGCGCCCUAGGGUAAAACUGGUGACUGGGGC
This 1434-nucleotide ribosomal RNA is filed under the name uncultured organism. RNAcentral describes it as "16S ribosomal RNA". It matches the Rfam family "Bacterial small subunit ribosomal RNA". The record is from RNAcentral.